CAGUAGCCGCGGUAAUACGAAGGGGGCUAGCGUUGCUCGGAAUGACUGGGCGUAAAGGGCGCGUAGGCGGAUGGCACAGUCAGAUGUGAAAUUCCCGGGCUUAACCUGGGGGCUGCAUUUGAUACGUGUUGUCUAGAGUGAGGAAGAGGGUCGUGGAAUUCCCAGUGUAGAGGUGAAAUUCGUAGAUAUUGGGAAGAACGCCGGUGGCGAAGGCGGCGACCUGGUCCUUUACUGACGCUGAGGCGCGAAAGCGUGAGGAGCAAACAGGAUUAGAUACCCGUGUAGUCCCUGUCUCUUAUAA
RNAcentral lists this ribosomal RNA (301 nucleotides) under uncultured bacterium. RNAcentral's name for it is "partial 16S ribosomal RNA". It matches the Rfam family "Bacterial small subunit ribosomal RNA", at positions 509 to 809 of the family's 1533-position model. The record is from RNAcentral.